Long non-coding RNA from Hemicordylus capensis (graceful crag lizard), 1887 nucleotides. RefSeq lists it as uncharacterized. The record is from RefSeq and is a predicted model, not a curated record. The transcript has 5 exons. NCBI's taxonomy places the organism in Eukaryota, Metazoa, Chordata, Lepidosauria, Squamata, Cordylidae.
UGGAAUCACAUGUAUCUAUAUAUUUAAUUCUCUUAAACGUACCCAUCACUAAUCCUAUGCAUGGCAGCUCUCGUGAAAGUUUGCAAACAGCUGCUGGGGGAUAAGUGACGGGGACGGGGGAAGAAAACAGCCAUGGCGACUGGCAGAGCCACGCUGGCAGGAGGAGGCAAAGCCACGCCAGCGGGAGGAGGCGGCCGGCAGCAGGAGGAGGCCGGCCAACUGGAGGUGGUGGCAGGCUGGCCAGAGGCGGCUGGCAGGUGGGCGGACGGUGAUAAAACGGCAGCAGCGAGCGGGAGAAAAUGGCUGGACCAAACAAGAGGCACAGAUGCUCUGCGACUGGCCCAGCUAGUUGUUAUGAUUCUUGAAUAUCACAUAUGUGCACAUUUGUGGCAGGGUGAGAAAGGAACUGCAACAGUAGAGACAUCUGCACAGAGCAUGGGAGAGAGCUUCUAGAUUCACCUGGUUCUCUGCGGCUUCCAAUUUCAUAGUCAAGAACAUCUUCCAACCAGUUGCAUUUCAACUGACCUUAACCAUCCUCCUCCUUAACUGCAUAUGGAAUCCUGCUGCCCAAUCACCACGGUGCUUCUGCUCAUGAACUCUCGCGAGAGCUGCUACACACGGGAUUAGCCACAGAUCUCGGGGGAACCAGAUGAAUGGCCCUUGACACUACCAGCCAACACAGACGACUGAUUAGACGUAGUCCUGUACCACAGCAUUUAAGCCCAGCGGAUCUGCCAAUCUUGUUCAACCUGUCAGGCCCACAACAUUGGACAAGGAGCGAAGACACAACCAUCUGUAAGGCCCCCAAACUGGGGGACCCUUGAAGUUCUUCCAGAUGGACUUUGCUGCCACCUGCUGGUGGUGGGUUUGAAUUUUUUCCAGGAUGGUCAAGUGACUGAUUCUUCCAAGAUUCAGAUUUUCUCAGAACCUGGACAUAAUGACUAUGCUGGCUAAAGUGGUGCAAGACUCUAAUCUGCCCUGAGUAGAUGGUUUACCCUUUGUCCUGAUGUCUAUCAGAGAUGGCUCCAAGGAGAGACAUUGGCUUACCCCUCAUGAACCAGUGGGGGGGGGCGCUAUGAGGGUAGGAAUGGAGCCUCCCACCAAACCUAUCAGGGAAAGUCUGAUGCAACUGGACAAAGACACAGUUCAGUAUUGUGUGACCCUCACUAAUGGGUUUAAGUCUCUUAACAGGCAUGUGAAGGUGUCCCAGACUGGAACUGUGAUUGGAGCCUGUUAUGCCCUCCAGCCCAGAGAUUGGGCCCUCAUCAAAGAGUUUCGGAGGAAGAACUGUCUUUCCCCGUGUAGGACUAGUCAUUUACAGAUUCUGUUGGUGAUCCAAACGGCUGUCAAGUGCAAAGGAAGGAAUACUUGGAUCCAUACAUCCCAUUGCCGGAAGAUGACCCCAAGGGAGCCUCCAGAUGACAGAAACCCAGACCCAGAAGAAGGAUCACCAGUGUGACAGGGCGGGCUAACCGCCAUCAACCUAGCAGGAAAAAGAAAGACUCGUGAAGCUCUUACAGGAGUUGAGGUGUGAAAGAUGUCUAUCAUAAUGCAGGCUCUUGAGGCACAAGUCAGGGAGCAGAAGAAGUAUAUGAGCAUUUGAAUGAAGGGAAGUGGCUAGGGUGAAGAGGCUCACCUAGCUUCGGAUGUGGGAACUGUUGGGGGGGAAAUCAAAGAUGGAAAAGUGAACUAAAGUUUUUCUCCUUGUCUGUGGUAUUUGGGAAAGAUGCUGUGAGUGCAAAACAAUAGCCUCUUUGUGGCUUGAAAGUUGGACAUGCGCAGUAGUUAUAAAAAUAUUUCUAGCCUAGAGUACUGUGAUUGGUUAAUGCUGAUCUGAAGAUGUACAAUAUACAGGUACUCAUUCUGACCAAAUGUAUAUGCAUAACU